RNAcentral lists this ribosomal RNA (300 nucleotides) under Myrmekiaphila fluviatilis. RNAcentral's name for it is "partial 12S ribosomal RNA". Lineage: Eukaryota; Metazoa; Arthropoda; Arachnida; Araneae; Euctenizidae. The record is from RNAcentral.
AGGUAAUUUUAAACCUAUAUUUUUUGGCGGCCUUUUAUCUUUUCAGAGGAAUUUGUCUAUGUUUAUCGUCAUUACCCGUUCAUUCUCACUUUUUUUCAUUUUCUAUACCACCGUCUUAAGAUAAAACUUCGAGGUUUUAUCUUAAACUCUUUUGAUAAGUCAGGUCAAGGUGGAGAUUAUAAAAAAGUUUAGAUUAAUUAUUUAUAAACAAUAUUUAAGGCCAGUUUUCUAAAGAAAUCCUAAAUGAAGAUUUGAAAGUAGUUUUUUAUUAAGUUUUUAACACGAAUUUGCUUUAGGUGU